CCUACGGGGGGCAGCAGUGAGGAAUAUUGGUCAAUGGGCGGGAGCCUGAACCAGCCAAGCCGCGUGAAGGAAGAAGGCGCCAAGCGUCGUAAACUUCUUUUGUCGGGGAACAAAGGGCGCCACGUGUGGCGUUUUGAGUGUACCCGAAGAAUAAGCAUCGGCUAACUCCGUGCCAGCAGCCGCGGUAAUACGGAGGAUGCGAGCGUUAUCCGGAUUUAUUGGGUUUAAAGGGUGCGUAGGCGGUCGGGAAAGUCAGCGGGAAAAGCCCGGGGCUCAACCCCGGAGAGCCGUGGAAACUGGCGGACUAGAGCGGGCGAGAGGUACGCGGAAUGCGCGGUGUAGCGGUGAAAUGCAUAGAUAUCGCGCAGAACUCCGAUUGCGAAGGCAGCGUACCGGCGCCGGACUGACGCUGAGGCACGAAAGCGUGGGUAUCGAACAGGAUUAGAUACCCUAGUAGUC
This 459-nucleotide ribosomal RNA is filed under the name uncultured bacterium. Its description in RNAcentral is "partial 16S ribosomal RNA". It matches the Rfam family "Bacterial small subunit ribosomal RNA", at positions 338 to 795 of the family's 1533-position model. The record is from RNAcentral.